GAUGAACGCUGGCGGCGUGCCUAAUACAUGCGAGUCGAGCGAACAGACGAGGAGCUUGCUCCUCUGACGUUAGCGGCGGACGGGUGAGUAACACGUGGAUAACCUACCUAUAAGACUGGGAUAACUUCGGGAAACCGGAGCUAAUACCGGAUAAUAUAUUGAACCGCAUGGUUCAAUAGUGAAAGACGGUUUUGCUGUCACUUAUAGAUGGAUCCGCGCCGCAUUAGCUAGUUGGUAAGGUAACGGCUUACCAAGGCAACGAUGCGUAGCCGACCUGAGAGGGUGAUCGGCCACACUGGAACUGAGACACGGUCCAGACUCCUACGGGAGGCAGCAGUAGGGAAUCUUCCGCAAUGGGCGAAAGCCUGACGGAGCAACGCCGCGUGAGUGAUGAAGGUCUUCGGAUCGUAAAACUCUGUUAUUAGGGAAGGACAAAUGUGUAAGUAACUAUGCACGUCUUGACGGUACCUAAUCAGAAAGCCACGGCUAACUACGUG
Molecule: ribosomal RNA, 497 nt
Filed under: uncultured bacterium
Lineage: Bacteria
Description: partial 16S ribosomal RNA
Rfam family: Bacterial small subunit ribosomal RNA
Source: RNAcentral